Molecule: ribosomal RNA, 475 nt
Filed under: uncultured bacterium
Lineage: Bacteria
Description: partial 16S ribosomal RNA
Rfam family: Bacterial small subunit ribosomal RNA
Source: RNAcentral
AACGAACGCUGGCGGCAUGCCUAACACAUGCCAGUCGAACGAGACCUUCGGGUCUAGUGGCGCACGGGUGCGUAACGCGUGGGAACCUGCCCUUAGGUUCGGAAUAACUCCCCGAAAGGGGUGCUAAUACCGGAUAAUGUCUUCGGACCAAAGAUUUAUCGCCUUUGGAUGGGCCCGCGUUGGAUUAGCUAGUUGGUAGGGUAAAAGCCUACCAAGGCGACGAUCCAUAGCUGGUCUGAGAGGAUGAUCAGCCACACUGGGACUGAGACACGGCCCAGACAGGUGCGGGGGCGAGAGGGGAGAAAUAGUGGCGGACGGGGAAACGUCUGCUACGGCGGUGUGGGGGGAGUGAUGAAGGCGUUGGAGUUGUAUAGCUCUUCGACGCAGGAGAACAGGGACAGUGCAGGAAAAAUCAGCUCCGGAUAACUCCGCGACAGAGGCGGCGGUAAUAGAGAAGAAGAGCACACGUUAGAUC